UUCAGGAAUGUGCUGAAGUUUUCACUUGGGAAAUUAUUACAAAUUAUUAAAGGAGUGCAAGUAUUUACCCAUAAUGUAAAACUCCCAGUCUUACACUUUCCUGUUGCCUGUGGACUCUGAAACAGUUCUCAGCUCUUAAGAAUCUAAAUUGUGCCUACAUUGAUUGUUGGAACCUGGCUGUGAACCUUAAAGCUCAUCUACUAUGCAAAGCUUGAGAAGAUAGAAGGAAAGUGCUUGGGUUUCCUGACUUAUGCUGGAUAUACCAUCGUCCUCAUUAGAGCACAGUGGAGUCUGACUUUUACCUUUAGUAUACUGAACAGAACAACAACAAAAAUGAAGUUCAGAUAUCAAUUGUUUCAACAGCUUCUUUGCUUUUGGAGUAAGACUUCAAAGCAGUUUCUUAAGUUGCAAAGGGAUCAAGCAAUUAAGUAUUGCUGAACAUUAAUGAAUACCUUAGGACCCAGCUUAAAAUUAUAGUAUUUUACUAUUUUCACUAAGCUCGAAUCUGUUGCAGAAAUAGAGAUAAGACUUUUUGUUUUUAAUUGAUUCAGAGGUGUUGAUAUCCUAGGUUUUGUUUGUGGAGACUAGAAGGAGCAAUUUGCCACAAAGUGGGAAAAAAAAGAACUGCUGUCUGCUGCAAACUGAUCUGUAGGAGAAGCACAUGCAGGAUAGAUCCUUCUUCCUGGCUAUUAUUAAUCAUUCCAUAGUAAGAAUUUUAAAAAAUCCUAUAUAAUCAAGGGAUACAAAUUGAGUGAAUUUUUAAGUUACGUUUAAUACAGAAAUUAAAUAUAGAAGUUACAAAAUACUGAUCUGUGUCUGUAAAGAAAAGCAGUAUAGCAUUUUACUUGGACAAAGUUUGCACAGCAAGUUGUCCUUGCAAUCCUAAGAAUUUUAUUUGGUAUGGAAUCCUACAGUAUUCUUUAAAUGAAAAUAAAUAAAUAAAUACAUCUCA
Molecule: long non-coding RNA, 952 nt
Filed under: Phasianus colchicus (ring-necked pheasant)
Lineage: Eukaryota; Metazoa; Chordata; Aves; Galliformes; Phasianidae
Description: lncRNA (ENSPCLG00000020315.1)
Source: RNAcentral